RNAcentral lists this ribosomal RNA (400 nucleotides) under uncultured eukaryote. RNAcentral describes it as "SSU rRNA". It matches the Rfam family "Eukaryotic small subunit ribosomal RNA", at positions 587 to 972 of the family's 1831-position model. The record is from RNAcentral.
AGCUCCAAUAGCGUAUAUUAAAGUUGCUGCGGUUAAAAAGCUCGUAGUUGGAUCUCAGUCUCGGGCCGGCGGUGCACCUCGCGGUGUUCAACUGCCGAGCCCAGGCCUGAACUUGUGAUGAAUCCCGGGCCCUGCCCCGGGUGCCCUUCGCCGGGUGCCCGGGUCGCAGCCGGUGCGUUUACUUUGAAAAAAUUGGAGUGCUCAAAGCAGGCUAGCAGCCUGAACAGUCGUGCAUGGAAUAAUGGAAGAGGGCCGCGUCGGCACUUUUGUUGGUAUCUAGCCGAGCGUGGUAAUGGUUGAAGGGGACUGCCGGGGGCAUUCGUAUUGCGACGUUAGAGGUGAAAUUCUUAGAUCGUCGCAAGACGGACUACUGCGAAAGCAUUUGCCAAGAAUGUUUUCA